Marmota monax (woodchuck) is the source of this 3588-nucleotide long non-coding RNA. RefSeq lists it as uncharacterized. The record is from RefSeq and is a predicted model, not a curated record. Lineage: Eukaryota; Metazoa; Chordata; Mammalia; Rodentia; Sciuridae. The transcript is spliced from 3 exons.
CGGACUGUGUGGAAUGGCAAUCCUGCCAGAAUAUGUAGCUGUGGACUUCCUCCAUCCUUGUAUGUAUUAUUUCCUUGAGGUUUUCUUUAUUUUCUGAGGUUGUUGUUUGUGACAAUUAUACUCCCCUCUCUUUUCAGUUUAACCUUUCUUGGCCAAAUCCAAGGUCAGAGAGAGCGAUCUGCUACAGUCUGCCUAGUAAAAUGCACGUCUCCUGAUUAGGAAAUUGAGCUUCUUCCAUUUACCAAGCCUUGGUUGCUUACAGGGAGAGAUGCUGACUCAUAGAACAGGCAAGGUGAUUCAUAUAUGCAAAUACAUAAUUUAUCUACUCACACUGAUUUUGUUAACAACAGGUCUGUGGCAUCUGAGGAGCCAUCAAGUACUCAGGUUUCAUUUUGCAUAAUUAUACAAUAUGCGAUGAUAUCAUCUCAUGUCUCCUUAUUGUUGUAUCAUCACUUUCCCUCUGUAGAGAUGGAGCUUUAUGAAGGCAAGGGCUUCUAGGCUUUUGUUAACUGGAGUUACCAUCAUACAGAAUAGUGCCUAGUGUGGUGGAAACUCACUAAAUGUCUGAGUAACUGGGUGACUGAAUACAUGGUUAGGAUACCUUCUUGUCUUUGCUUCUCCUCUUGGUUUCUGCAGUUUUCUGGUAUUUCCUUUGGGGAGGGCAUGUAGUAACCCCACAAGGAGAGACCUUAUGAGUCCUCUUCAACAUCACAUCAUCCUAAUACAAGGAGCUGGAUUCCCAGGACCAAUCUUUCUCACGAACAUCAGCUGAUUUUAAGUCAGUCUUUCUGUAUAUUUUUUUUUUCUUACUCUCCCUUUACUUCUGGCUUUACUUAUAGUAGAAACCUAUUUUUAGGUUAUCUUUAUGUGCAUACACUUAUUUCUAAAAUGUUAUUAAACCACAUUUUAUGCUUUAUUUUGUUCCCCACAAACUAUAUUUUAUUUUCUUUAUACCUUCUAAUUUGCUCCUCUCGUAGAUAGUUCUUCCCUUUCAAGUCACUAAACAGCAAUUUGCCUGAGUUUUCUUGAUAGCAUCUCUCUUUAUUUUUGUAUCUUCCACAGCAUCUUUCAGCACUCUUUCAAUAUGGGUCAGACCAAAUAAGUACCUUCAAUGUUCUUGGCAAGUAUUAACUCCUAAUGGCUUACUCCUUUUUAGUUGUCCUUUAAGUUAAGUAUCCAGAUAGACUUGAAUUGGGAAACAGAAGGUCACUUGAGCAAGGAUCUAUUUUCCUAGAUAAGGAGGAGUAGUCUUCUAAAAGCUGUACCUACAAGCAGGUUCUUUCCAAUGACAGCGAUGGGUUUGUCUAAAAGGGUAGAUAAACAAUCUUUUGAAAGAGAUAGUGAAGUCAUCUUUGUGUAUAUAAUAGUACAUGCAGUUUUAGACAAGUUUCAGAUAUAAAGGCAAAAGGGCAGAACUAAAAGAAAUCAAUUAUCCAUAUGAUGAAUGGUGAUGAAAACAAAUAUCAUAAUAACAAAGCCUUGAAUAAAUUCAAUGAGAGUCUGCAUAUCAUGUUGAAUAAUCAUAAAGACAACAAAGUCAAUUAAGACUGAAGUGAAACAGGAGGGCAAAAAACAUGAUUAAAAAACUCACUUAGCAUCCUCCCUUUAACAGAAAAAAUACCAUCAAUUCCCAGUGAGCAAGGACUUGUGCUUGGAUCAUGAACCAAAUACCUCCAGAAUGAGUGUCUGCAAUCGCUAAGAAAUACAGCUGGGCUUCACGUUGUGUGCCAGCUCCAGCUGAAUGGUCGUGGCUGCCUAGAACUCUGUGUUAGGAGCUUCUCAGUAGCAAGUGGGCACGGUGAAGCAUCUGUGACUUCUGCUCCUUUCAUCAGUAAAGAGAAAACUUUCACACAUGACCUGUGAACUUUGUAUUCUCUGUUUGGAAGAUGUCCUGAGGCUCACCCUGGUUGCAGGGGAAACUGAAAAAGCACACAUGUAGCUUUCCUGGCCUCUGUGGUGAAGGAGGCCAGAGAGGAAGGCCUUGGGGGAGGUCUGCUAAGAUCUGGGAGGACUCAGGAGGUCAUUAGGCUGAUGAUGUUCACUGCCACCUCUGAAGUAGACCUAGGAGAAGAUAUCCUUUUCUGAGGAAAUGUAUGACUUCCCUAAUUUAUUUCUCACUCCUGUAGGCUCACGAAGCUAACAGUCACAGGGAUUUUGUUAGUAAUUUUCAUUUGGGUAACUGAAAGGCCACGUAGGGGUAGACAAGAGUCUCCUAGUGUCUAAAUUUCAGGAUUAGUUACUAAUGGACAAUGCCUUGUGAAGAAAUGAAAAAAAAAACAUUAGGAGGGGUCUUGGAUAUCAUAAAGAUGUGGGAAGAUCAGUGGAGCAGAAAUAGGAGAAUAGGAGGAAGGGAGGAAGGAAGGAAGGGGAAAGAAAUAUGGAAUGAAUGUAACACAAUUAUGUUCUGUACAUCAUCUCACCUUCAUGCAUAUGUAAUACUGCAUUGUGUUCUAUUCUCACUGCUGCCUACCCACAUGUGCAGUUAGUACCCUGAGAUGCCACUCUUAAGUGUUAGUGCUUGACAUAGUACAUGGCUAUUGAUGAUCCUUCCCCAGCUUUAUUUUAACUCUUCUUUGCCUCUGCUCUACUAGCUGCUACCGUCUGGACCUAGUUCAAGUGCCCCCAAAGGUCUACUGUGAUUGAAGACUUGACCCUCAGGAUGGCAUUGCUGGGAAGACAGGCCUUAGGUCAUUAGGGGGUGCCCUUGGAAGGAAGGAAUUGUGACAGUUCUCUGACUUCCUUCCUGUCCGAUCACGCAAGCUCUCUACACGCAUGUGCCUCUACCAUGAGGUGACACAGUGGACAGGGAAGGCCUCACCAGAACCAAGGCAAUGGCAGCACCAUGAGGUGGAACCUCACAAACCACAUUCUAGAUAAGCCUGUUCUUCAUGAGAAGGUUGUCACUGUAGUGACAAAAAGUUGACUAAGAUGUCGGUCAUUAAGUACUUCCGGCUUAUUCCUAGUUAGGGAAUUACUGAAGUACAUUUUCUUCAGUGUAAGGGAUCCUGAGACCCACUGGAACAUUUUCCAAGGAAAUGUCACUUUAGGAAAAUGCUAAUCAAAGCCUUUAAAAAGGACAGCAUGGAGUUGUAAGGAAGUAAUAAAAAUAAAGAGCAAGUCAAAAAUAGGUUUGUUAGAGACAAAGUAUGAAUUGGUUGAAAGUAGAUUUGGGAGAUAAUUAUGCUAAUGUAGACCAACUGCUGUGGCUCUCCUCUCCUGUGUGUCUUGGCACAGUGCACUACCCAGGGGCAUGUCCUUAAAGCCAUUGACCCAUCCUGGAUACAAGCCAAACAAGGAAGGGUCAAAAGCAGAAGCCCAAUUAAUCAGGUACCACCAGUGUAGGCGGGCCAGGACCCAAAGACUGGAAGGUCGGCUAUGACGGGGGAGCAUGAAGGUGUAAUAGAUCUCAGAACACAGGCAGGUCCAGAGUCUAGGAGGUUAGGAGUUUGGCAGAAAUAACUCUGGUAAUAAGAACUGAACUUGGACCCUAGGGCAGAAAGUACUCCAUUGUAUUCUACUAUCACUGCUGAAUGUGGAUGAAUUGCUGGGCAUUGUCAGGAAGUCUCAAAACGAUUUUUUGUGAUUAAA